Molecule: long non-coding RNA, 283 nt
Filed under: Pan troglodytes (chimpanzee)
Lineage: Eukaryota; Metazoa; Chordata; Mammalia; Primates; Hominidae
Description: long non-coding RNA NONPTRT003478
Source: RNAcentral
ACCUGUAAAGGGUCCUGCUGGGCUCACCAUUGGUGUGCUGCAUGGUCGGCAGGCGUAUGGGGGCAGGAGGGCCCAGAACUAUGUGGUGUGGACAAGGCCAUCUUCUCAGGGAUCUCACAGCGCUGCUCCCACUGCACCAGGCUCGGUGCCUCCAUCCCUUGCCGCUCACCUGGAUGUCCACGGCUUUACCACUUCCCCUGCGCGACUGCCAGCGGUUCCUUCCUAUCCAUGAAAACACUGCAGCUGCUAUGCCCAGAGCACAGUGAGGGGGCUGCACAUCUGG